GCCGGGCAGGUGUGGAGGGAAAAGCAGGCUGGGAAAUCAAGAAAAACACAAAAGGCAAUAGCUGCUCUGAGCUGAGGACAAAUCAGGAAUAAACUUAAAUACACAAAGAGUCCAGCCAUUGAACAAACAGUCUCAGGAUAAGAACGUCUACUAAAUGUCCUGAAUGGAAAAACAGACGACGUGAGGAAUGAACCGCCUGCUGUAUAAAUCGCUGCAUAUCUGAUGUCGAACUAGGACUGACGGAGACUUGGCUCUCUUUGGGUGCUUUAACUCUUCCCUCACACAUACAAACAGCUCUGCUGAUGGGCUGAAAAACUGAUUCUCAAAGACUGGAAGACACCAAAACCUACGUGCUUCAGAAACUGGCUGCAUGAACGAUGUUUUGGUUGUCCACUUAAAAUCUCAUCAUAAAUGGAAAGAAUCUUGGACUCCUUUUCCUGAAUAUUUGGUCUCAAUUUGACCGUAUUUGUAUUCAUAUAUAGAUUGAGGCUUUUGUAACAAUCACAUGUAGAUGAUAUGUACUGUUAUCAUGUUUUGUGUCCUUGAUAGAUGGUUAAGAAGAACUGCUCUCAGUUACUUCUGAUGUGUGUGUGUGUGUGUGUUUCAGUUGUGGACAUUGACGUUUGUGUGGUUUAUAUGAAAAAUCUGUCAAUGAAAAUAAUGCUAAAAAAAAAAAGACGACUCAUGGAUAAUGAAGAUAAUGGAGAGUGGAAAGUAACACACAGUAUUUACAAGGAUCAUCCCCUGAAACAACACAACACAGUAAUGGUUUUAUAACAGGAUCCAGCGUGCGACUUACAAAAGUACAAGUAAACAUUCUCCAAACAUCUCCAGAACAAAAGCGGACAACAUCUCCUUCCUGCGGACACCUACAUGCUUAUUGUUGACGACGACCUCACCCACAACAAUCACUAUCAUCAUAACUUCCACUGAAGAGCGGUGAGCUGUUUUCUUCCAAACUCACAGUCGUCGCUUUGGUAUACGCACAUCAGAAGAAACCAGUUUGAGUCAAGACCACAGUUUAUGCCAGUAAGCGCAAAAAUAAAAACAAAAAUUAAAGGGAAAAUGGGAAGUUUUGACAUGA
Long non-coding RNA from Thunnus maccoyii (southern bluefin tuna), 1084 nucleotides. RefSeq lists it as uncharacterized. The transcript is spliced from 3 exons. The record is from RefSeq and is a predicted model, not a curated record. NCBI's taxonomy places the organism in Eukaryota, Metazoa, Chordata, Actinopteri, Scombriformes, Scombridae.